CCUACGGGUGGCAGCAGUGAGGAAUAUUGGUCAAUGGACGAGAGUCUGAACCAGCCAAGUAGCGUGAAGGAUGACUGCCCUAUGGGUUGUAAACUUCUUUUAUAAAGGAAUAAAACGAGGCACGUGUGCCUUUUUGCAUGUACUUUAUGAAUAAGGAUCGGCUAACUGCGUGCCAGCAGCCGCGGUAAUACGGAGGAUCCGAUCGUUAUCCGGAUUUAUUGGGUUUAAAGGGAGCGUAGAUGGGUUGUUGAGUCAGUUGUGAAAGUUUGCGGCUCAACCGUAGAACUGCAAUUGAUACUGGGAGUCUAGAGUGCAGUUGAGGUAGGCGGAAUUCGUGGUGUAGCGGUGAAAUGCGUAGAUAUAACGAAGAACUCCGAUUGCGAAGGCAGCUUACUAAACUGCCACUGACAUUGAUGCUCGAAAGUGUGGGUAUCAAACAGGAUUAGAUACCCCAGUAGUC
This 460-nucleotide ribosomal RNA is filed under the name uncultured bacterium. RNAcentral's name for it is "partial 16S ribosomal RNA". It matches the Rfam family "Bacterial small subunit ribosomal RNA", at positions 338 to 795 of the family's 1533-position model. The record is from RNAcentral.